Molecule: ribosomal RNA, 404 nt
Filed under: Althepus sp. 120 FL-2018
Lineage: Eukaryota; Metazoa; Arthropoda; Arachnida; Araneae; Ochyroceratidae
Description: partial 16S ribosomal RNA
Rfam family: Bacterial large subunit ribosomal RNA
Source: RNAcentral
CCUGCUCAAUGAACUUAAAUAGCCGCUAUUUAUUAGUGCUAAGGUAGCAUAAUCAUUUGUCUUUUAAUUAAAGAAUAGAAUGAAUGGAAUAACGAAUAUAAAACUUUAUUGUUUAUAUUAUAUUAAAUUAAUAUAAAAGUAAAAAAGCUUUUAAUUUAAGAAAAGACGACAAGACCCUUUAGAACUUAACUAAAAGUUAAACUGGGGUGGUAAUUUAUAAAAACUAAUUAAAUAACUCAAACAACUAAAUAUAUAUAUAUAUACAAGUUACCUAAGGGAUAACAGCACAAUAAAAAUUAAGAGAUCUUAUCUAAAUUUUUGAUUAUGACCUCGAUGUUGAAUUACUAAACAAUUAAAAGCAAAUUUUUAAAUAGUAAGUCUGUUCGACUUUUUAAUAAGUACAU